Molecule: long non-coding RNA, 295 nt
Filed under: Panax ginseng (ginseng)
Lineage: Eukaryota; Viridiplantae; Streptophyta; Magnoliopsida; Apiales; Araliaceae
Description: long non-coding RNA (PGIN_LNC007841)
Source: RNAcentral
UGAAUCCUAAGUUGACUUUCUCAAGUAUCUGUAAGGGAAAAAGAACUGGAAGCCAAAGUCAAGCACUAGGAAUUCAGGGUUCAAGCUACGAUGUCUGACAUUGAAAAAGAAAAUAUUCUUCAUGCCAACGCUAAAUUCCAUUGCCAUGAAAUACAAGCCGAACUAAAGACGGUUAAUUGGAAGGCCUCUAAAGACGAAGAACGUCGAAUAGCCCUCCUAGCCAAUCAUGAAGAAAUGAAGAAGGGGAAUGAUCAACUAAAGAAGGGGAAUAUGGCACUGCAUAAUCAAGUCAAAA